UCGAGAAUUUUUCUCAAUGGGGGAAACCCUGAAGGAGCGACGCCGCGUGGAGGAUGAAGGUCUUCGGAUUGUAAACUCCUGUCAUUGGUGAACAAGGCCCUCGGAGUAACUGCCGUUGGGUUUGAUAGUAGCCGAAGAGGAAGGGACGGCUAACUCUGUGCCAGCAGCCGCGGUAAUACAGAGGUCCCAAGCGUUGUUCGGAUUCAUUGGGCGUAAAGGGUGCGUAGGCGGCGAAGCAAGUCUGGUGUGAAAUCCCGGGGCUCAACCCCGGAACUGCACUGGAUACUGCUUUGCUAGAGCACUGGAGAGGGAACUGGAAUUUACGGUGUAGCAGUGAAAUGCGUAGAUAUCGUAAGGAAGACCAGUGGCGAAGGCGAGUUCCUGGACAGUUGCUGACGCUGAGGCACGAAGGCCAGGGGAGCAAACGGG
Molecule: ribosomal RNA, 429 nt
Filed under: Bacillota bacterium
Lineage: Bacteria; Bacillati; Bacillota
Description: Firmicutes bacterium partial 16S ribosomal RNA
Rfam family: Bacterial small subunit ribosomal RNA
Source: RNAcentral